RNAcentral lists this small RNA (60 nucleotides) under Salmonella enterica subsp. enterica serovar Derby. RNAcentral's name for it is "partial RtT sRNA". It matches the Rfam family "RtT RNA", at positions 67 to 130 of the family's 130-position model. Rfam says of the family: This family represents a bacterial cis-regulatory element known as RtT RNA. The exact function of RtT is unknown although it is thought that it may be involved in changing the cellular response in relation to amino acid starvation. RNAcentral also lists the same sequence under 3 other names. The record is from RNAcentral. Lineage: Bacteria; Pseudomonadati; Pseudomonadota; Gammaproteobacteria; Enterobacterales; Enterobacteriaceae.
GUUGCUUUAGCAACGGCCCGAAGGGCGAGGCGAAGCCGAGUCAUCCUGCACGACCCACCA